This 492-nucleotide ribosomal RNA is filed under the name uncultured bacterium. RNAcentral's name for it is "partial 16S ribosomal RNA". It matches the Rfam family "Bacterial small subunit ribosomal RNA", at positions 29 to 507 of the family's 1533-position model. The record is from RNAcentral.
AGUGAACGCUGGCGGUAGGCCUAACACAUGCAAGUCGAACGGCAGCACAGUAAGAGCUUGCUCUUACGGGUGGCGAGUGGCGGACGGGUGAGGAAUACAUCGGAAUCUACUUUUUCGUGGGGGAUAACGUAGGGAAACUUACGCUAAUACCGCAUGCGACCUACGGGUGAAAGCAGGGGAUCUUCGGACCUUGCGCGAUUGAAUGAGCCGAUGUCGGAUUAGCUAGUUGGCGGGGUAAAGGCCCACCAAGGCGACGAUCCGUAGCUGGUCUGAGAGGAUGAUCAGCCACACUGGAACUGAGACACGGUCCAGACCCCUACGGGAGGCAGCAGUGGGGAAUAUUGGACAAUGGGCGCAAGCCUGAUCCAGCCAUACCGCGUGGGUGAAGAAGGCCUUCGGGUUGUAAAGCCCUUUUGUUGGGAAAGAAAAGCAGCAGGUUAAUACCCCGCUGUUCUGACGGUACCCAAAGAAUAAGCACCGGCUAACUUCGUG